AUUACUCUCUCGAUAGCCAUUAGGCCGAAGUUCUGUGCGCAUGGUAUCUAAGGAAUUUCUCGUGAAAUUUAGUUUAUACAAUCUGAUACAUUGGACAAAUCAUCAGUUUGGACGACUGUUCACAUAUUCUAGGGGUCCCCGUAGCCACAUUGGUUGCGCGUUCACUUAAAUAGUUACGUCCACGCAACAAUCAUCAGCGAUGGAGAUCGAUCCACGGUCGAAACAAGAUCGAUUCAUCCAUACAACUGCUCUGAUCUGCAAGAAACAUCGGGCUGCUGUUCUAUAAAUAACUCAACAAUGAUCAUAUCAACUGUCUCCGCUGUCCGGUCUAACUGGAUAAUGGAAGAACAGAAUGAAUACUCUUAAUAGAAGGAAUACUGGCGAAUGGCAACUGUGUAAUGUGCUAUAAUUAUAGAUAUAAUAACCAUGUGACAUGUACACGAUUAAAAUUCGGCUCUUUUUUUUUCCCCCCCAAAAUAUAUAUUUUAUUAAGGCACAUGUGGCUUUAGCCUGACGGGGCCGGGAGUCCAAUAUUUUGACAAUUUUUGUCUUACAACUAUGUUAGUAAUAUGUAACCGAUUACUCGCGGUUGGCUCGAGGUUAGUAUUACAAGUGUUCUCAUAAUUGGUAUGUUGCAGUCUUCGAUGCUCUGUACGUGUGCCCGACACGGGAUACUUCCUAUUGGGAUGCAGCUGACCAUUAAUCAGCAACGCCCCCCUAGUCUGUACCCCAUAUCUAGCGUGGUGCGUCUUUCUCGCCUCGAGGAAUCCAGGAUAGAAUGGUCACUAGC
Toxorhynchites rutilus septentrionalis is the source of this 790-nucleotide long non-coding RNA. RefSeq lists it as uncharacterized. NCBI's taxonomy places the organism in Eukaryota, Metazoa, Arthropoda, Insecta, Diptera, Culicidae. The record is from RefSeq and is a predicted model, not a curated record. The transcript is spliced from 3 exons.